Molecule: long non-coding RNA, 1886 nt
Organism: Alligator mississippiensis (American alligator)
Lineage: Eukaryota; Metazoa; Chordata; Crocodylia; Alligatoridae
Exons: 2
Source: RefSeq, a predicted model, not a curated record
UUGUCAACUUGGCUUUAAAAGGAAAGCAGCAAUGUUUUCCUAAGGAUGCCUUGGGCUUGAGGCCCCUUUCAGCAGCUCGGGACACUUGGACUGCAAGAAUCCAAGGACAGCGUUUUGAACAGAUUUAAAUUACAGGAUUUCAUUAGUGUUUGAUCCUAAGCAGGAGCAACAAAAGAGCACAUUGUACCAGCCAGACACCGACCAAGCGUUUCUUUUUUUAAAUGGGCAAUGUGCACAAAGGGUUACCAUCCGACGGCAGAAAAAAAAAAUCAUAAAAAGGGGGCCUCUCGCUGCAGCCACAGAGGAGGUACCAUAUAACCAUAAGGAGAGUAAAUUUAGAACGGGAGGCCUACUGCAUUCGAGGGAUUCCAGACAUUCCAGCCUUCGCAUUGCUGCGGCGCUGGAUGGGGCUGCCAUCUUAAAUAGCCUCCGCCGGUAAACAAGGUCAUGACAUCACAUAGGCCGAGUCGACAAUGUCAAGGACAGGCUUGCAGGAAUGCUGAAAUUUAUUCCUAAAGGAGGGAACCGAGUGAGAGCAGAACCACUCGACACGCAGAAUUUCAGGAGCAAUACAAAAGUGAAGGGGGAAAAAAAGUGUUUACAAAAUCUGAAGUGCUUGGCAAUACAAUGUUUUUCUGGACAAGAAACACCGCAUUGUAUUCAUGUGGAGAUAUUUCAUUUAAAAGCAACAGCAGAAUUGAAAGUCUUCCAAAAAAGCCAAUAUCGUCGUUACAAAUGUUUGACUUUCGUAAGUGGCUGAUAGGAGGGGAAAAGAAAGAGUGAUUGGACUCCAGCACGUUUAGCCACGAGCAGUGAGAGGAACUAAUGAACAACAUCAUUACUUUAUUGAAGGAGAUGAAGGAGCUGCUUUAGAUCAAUGGCAGCAGCUUAAAACGUGGUUCGGGAAAUAAAUUCACCUUCUCUCGAUUUACCUGCUAGCUUGACAAGCUAAGGAAGUGCGCAGCGAAGAUGGAGCAUGAGAAAAAGCAGUGCAAAAGCUAACUGAGGUGAUGCCGUCAGCCCGCAUCCAAGGGAGUGUGUGAACAGAGAUUCUUGGACGCACUCCUAGUCAAAUAUAAACCAGGAACACUCCUCGCUCCAGCCUCUCUUGCAAAUCCGCUGUCGAGUGUGCGCAAAGACCCACCUGUUUCAAAGUCAAAUCUAUUCCCAAGAACCAAACACUGGCUUGUUUAUGGCUUGGUCACUAUUGCACUGUGAUCUCUAAUUUUGUUUCUGUUGUAGAGCAAGAGAAAUGUACCACCCACGGGUAAUUCUUUUCAUUCUGUUGACGGCUCCUAGAAACCUCUGCCGCAAAUUCACUUUUGCUGCUCCCCCUCCCCCAAAUUUUCCAAAGAUGAGUUUGUUCUACAACAAAUAUUUCUAGCUCUGUUCUGAACCGUUCCAGCCACCACUCCAGCGAUGUACAACCUGGGGGUAAGUACUCUGCAACAAUACGCAGGAAAGCUCAGUAUCUUUCCUAUAUCACACUGAUCAGAUUAACCACUCUCUCGUGGCCAAAAGACAACUCGAUCACCACUUCAUCCAUCCACUUCUCCAUCACUUUGUUUCCUUUAAGCCACGAGCAAACUUAUGACAGGGUAACUGCCAGGGAUGCUCUGAUUUGGAGGAAAGUGUGUGUGCAUGUGUAUAUGCACAUACUCUUCUGGUCCUUCUCAUCUUCCUUAUAGCCUGUCACGUGCUCAGACACUCAAAUCCCCAAAUCACUAUACAGAGCUGACAGAUACAGCUCUCCAUAUACAGAAGCAGCUGAGGUUUGGAGGAAGCUGUGCUGUUUUUAUUCUUCUUCUUAUUACUACUACUACUAUUAUUAUUAACCACUACCUUGCUAUAAGAAUCUGAUCCAAAGCCAAUAAAAGUAAACUGAA